ACGUCACCCACAAACGGUGUAGCUCAGGGAAUGAGUCGGCUGCACUAAACCCAAAAGCAAAAUAAUCAUGUUCACCCUAUAAAAGAGUGAUCUGCGGCUGCCUCCAUUUACACAGGCGUUAUCUGGAGGAGUAACCCGGGAGCUGCAAUGGGACGGGCUUUGGGAUAAGGGUGUCGCUGGAGCGUUGGGAAAGGCUACGAGAGAGUGACUGGAACAUCGCCGUGGUUGGGACGCAUCCCUGGGGAAGGGGCAGAGAUUGUUGCCACAAGACUGGGAGGAGCGGCCCGUGGGACGGGGACGAAGGCGCAGCCCCCUGCCAGGAGAAAACUCCUGCUGAUGGACCAGAGCAGGGGACAGGGGAGGCAGAGCCCAUGAACCUGUCUUUAUACAGGGGGUGCCAGAGAUACCGGGGUACUCUUACUAUAAGCAGUCUGAUGUGCAUAAUCCAUGAAUCCCAGCGUUAAGUGGGAUCUCUGCUGCGUUUCAAGAAUGCAUUAAUUAUACUCCAGGGGUGAGGUAAUUGGGUGGUGAACUGGUCUUAGAUAAUGGAAAAUAAAACAUUUAACGGGAUUUAAAAAUUUGUAAUGCAAGACUGGGUACAUUUCUGUAGAUUAAAUCCUUUCAGGAGUUUUUAAGCACAGAUUCCCCCACCCCCCCUUAACUGUCAACACACUUCUGAGCAAACGCGCCUUCACGUUAGAAUGAGGAUUAAUGGGGAGAUAAAAGCUCGGAGCAGAUUCUUGCCCAGCGUGAACUCACACUUUUAGGAUGGAGGAUGGCUCUGCCUGUUCAAAUAGCUGUCUCUCUGCUGAUGCUGAGAAUGACAGCUUUUGGUGCUGACGACGUACGUGACCUGAGCGGGGUCCCCACAUGAAUUCCAUGUCAACCUAUCAACAGCAUUUCUUGCCUUGGUCAGAAUCGAAGUUCUUCAACAAGUUUAGAGAACAACAGGCAAACCCCUAAUGUCCUGUUAAGAAAGAGGGAAAAAGAGCAACAGACCGAUUAGCGGACAAAAAAAAGUAACUAUUUCAGAAUAAAUACAAACAAAUUAGACUGGAGAAGUCUUUUUGAGUAUUAGCAGUAUUUACAAAAUACGAUUUUACUGAAGUUAAAGGUGAUGAGUUAUACAAACCCAUGUUGAGAUACCCAUACAAACCUGCAGAAACUGCAAAGGUUACACAUUCUGGAUGUUGAUUUACUUUAUUAAUUUGGCCUGAUCAUUCAAAACCUUAAGCAUUCAAAGGUAGUCAACAGUUUUGGAAGGCAAUGCUCAUAUGGACGUUAUUGCCGGCAGAUUAGUGACUGGGUCCGUACACUCUGCAGCAGCCACGUCCUCAGGGCAGCCGUGCAGAAGACAGCAAUGCAGAGCUCGUGUUAGGAAAUGCUCAAACUCACCUCCGGCAGAAUUUUUUCUGGAGCUAGGGGAAUGAUAUCGUGAAGAGAUGAGGCACAAUUGACCCCAAGCAUAGAACUGGAGCAGCUAACGUUUAAAUAUAUGCUGCAUAAAUAGACACCCAUGGGAAACGGGCACACAAUUGCUCAGGCUGAUUUUCUGUUUUCUGAUUUGAUGAUCUUUCUCCUUAGUAUAUUCAGAACCACAUUGUUCCUCAAGCUGAUUAUGAUCCCUCCCCUCAGACUCCAGAGCUGCAAGAGCAUUUCAAUCUCUCUUACUUGUCUUGACAAAAAUCAGUUCAUUAAAGAAAGAGAGGUCCCUUGAAAAAGAUGCAUAACAUUCAGUGUAGUGAGUACUUCAAGGUGGGGUGGGGGGGAACCUACAGGAACACUGUUUACCUUCUGAAACACGAAAACAAACACCUCAUCAAUUAAAACUGAGGGUAUAUCUCUUUCAAGGGUAUCCUAAGAAGUAACUUAAUAAGAAGGAAUUUAGGAAUAUUCCAAGGGGAUAACGGCUGUAUGUGGUUCUGGCGUGCUCUAUGCUUUGGGUAUAAACACUCACAAAACAUCCAAGCUUGAUAAAGGAGGAAAAUAUUUGAAAUCAAAGCUUAAAAAAUGCCUUUUCAUUGUGCAGAUUGCAGUUCUAUACAUGAAGUUAUGAUUUUCAUAAAUAAGGAAAGAAUGAAUGAUCAAGUUGUUAAGUCUAGGGAACAUAUUUUGUAAACUAGUGAGCAUAUAAAUAGUUGUAUUAAAGUCUUUGCCAAUCAGGUUGUCAAACUGAAAUUUCUACAGUCAAAACUUUAGUUCUAUAUCGACAGCAUUUUUACAAGUUGGCAAAUAUAGGAUUCAUCCAAAGCCUGGUGAAAUCAGCGAGCGCUUUCACGGGCUCCAAUAAGGAAUUUAACACGAUAUGCUUCAUAAUGCAAAUGACACAGUGUUCUCAACACCUACUUCUGCAAAACUGCUUGAAGCUUUAUAAUAAAAAUGGAUUAUUUUCAGCUUAGAAAGCAUGUUAAAAAAUUCAAAGUUUCACAGAGACUCCAAAUGCAUGUUUUUCAACACAAUGUUCUUAAAAAUUGUGUACAUUUAUCUACGAGAAAAAACAGCUAACAAGUAGGCCAGAGAACCAGGAGUCAGGAAACCCAGGUUGGGUUCAAUCCUGUAUGUGAUUUUGCGAAAAAUGCUCUGUUCUCCUGUGAUGCAAAUGAUUUCAAAAUGCCAUAGGCAUGCUCCCCUCCAGCACUUGCAGCGCAAAGGUUCUUCUACUAACAAAAUCUGUAAAAAACAUACGCCAAACUUAAAAAUUAAACUUCUUUCUUCAGUGAUCUGCAAUCCAGGACACAGUUUUGCAGAAGAAAUGCUGGACUGGAAUAUUGAAAAGUAGCAGUAAGAAUUGGCGAUAAGGUCUCUUGCUCUCACACAAGAAAGUGUUUGCAGAUAAACCCCACAGCUGAUGUGAAGGGCAACUGAGUCCAGGACCCAGAGGUUCCCUGCCUGCUCCACUUAGUGGCUGUCCAGCUCACAGCCUGACCCUACACCAGUCCUCCCAGAAAGAAGGCAGCUUCCCCAGAGGAAACAACCCCUUCGAUGGUUCAGGGGCCAGGCAAGGCCUUGUUCGAAGGUUUCUGAUGUUAUAUAAACAGCUAAAAAAAAGCCCAAAGAAUACAGUGUUUAUUUUACAAUAAAACAUGUCAUUUUUGAGUUCGAUAAUAAAAAAGUUAGUGCUAUGUAAUAACUGAACAAUUUACCAUGAUGGCUUUCCCAUUAUUCUCUGCAUUUUCAGCCUGUAAGGUCUCUCGGGCUUGUUAUUUUUUCAACAUUGCUCAGGAAAAUUUCAUACCGAGACGUGAAGAAUGAUGGUACUUUAGUUACUAGACUUAGCACAUUUUGCAGAAUGCUUUCCCAUUCUCAGCCCCUUCUGAACUCCUCUUAGGUCACGCCUGGCUCGCGAGCAGGACGGAGGGUUUCAGGCACAACUCCUGGGCAUGAUGAAUAUUUUGGCUCGGCCACCAAACCAAACCAUUUUCAGAAAACAAAGAGUGAGAUGAAAUCAAGAUAAAAGCGUGGUGAGGGCUGUUUUCUUUUCCUGAGGGGAGGAAGCAGAAGGCCCUGGUUCACACGGAAUCAGAAACACAACUUUCAUUCCGCUUGGAGACCUUUAACAAGAGCAAGCACAGAAGUUAAAAGCCAGAGCUCACACAGCACCCACGAUGGUGGGAGAACACGGCGCGCUCUGACCGACCCGCUGUGCUCGCCUCGAGCGCGAGAGGGCCGGGCUCCCUCUGCCUGAUGCAAACCGCAGAUUUAGGAGCUCGCGGGCUACGGGCUACGCGAGUUCAAAUCCUGCCCUCAGAAUACCUGAAUUCCAGUUUCCCCCCCGUCACCGGUAAGUGCUCGGAGCACCUGAGUGUUGAAUAGAAAGCAUGGAAAGGCACGACACCUCCCUCGCUUUGUAAAUCGAAUAUUUCUCCCUGCAAAGCUCAUGAGCUGAAAUCAAUCCUUAAAUUUUAUCAGUGGUUUUGGGUUAAACAACAACUCAGGUAGGUUCUGAAAGCACGAGGGAGGAUUGCUAUAGGUUUGCAUGGCUCUAAGUAUGCAAAACCCUGUAGCUACAUUUUAUGCAUAGUCUAUUUACAAAAUAUUUCUGAUGUGUAUUAGUUUAUCUUGCUGCAAAAAUCAGAUGCGUUUGCUAUAAAACUAAGUCAUUAGUGAAAUGAGCACUUACGCUACUGGCUAGACGAAACACUGAAGGGAGGGAGCAACUACAAACCAGAACGUUGCCCUACAGUUACCUCUUGUUUUUUUUUUUAAUUCCCUUCACCAAAGCCAUCCCGUGCUCUGCUUGUGGGCAGUCUGGGAACCCCACCAAUAAAACCACCAAAACAACAACACCAAAAAAUAUCUAAGAAACCCCACCCUUCAAUACACAAAAAUAAAUAAACCUUUUCUCAUCGUACGCAAGCUGCCAA
Phalacrocorax carbo (great cormorant) is the source of this 4364-nucleotide non-coding RNA. The record is from RefSeq and is a predicted model, not a curated record. Lineage: Eukaryota; Metazoa; Chordata; Aves; Suliformes; Phalacrocoracidae.